UGUUGUUUUGGUGGCGCAGGCUUCUUCCUUGGUACAUCUUCACAUCUUUUUUCAGUGCACUUCCAGACUGAUCUUUUCAUUUUCCUGACAAAUAAAAACAACUGGACUAUCUGGAUCUCUGCUGGUGAAAGUUGACACAAUGGCAAAACAAACAGCAUCAACAGUUUGCUUCUUAUUGAUUUUAUUCGUCACAGUCUUUGCUCAAGGGAUAGUUGGUUGGAAGUACUUCCAAGACUGUCCAGGAAUUCCCUUCAUCCCUAUUUAUCUUUGUGGACCCAUCUUUGCCUUCUUUGCAUUCUGCAUAUGUCGGUCAUGUAACGAGCUUUGUUUGUUCGUGACCACCCUCGUCUUCUUUUGCUGGUACAUUGCUGGUAGUGCAGUGAUCUACAGCAAUUAUGAACAACUACAGACUACAGACUACAGAUACUGCAAUAAGACGCUCUACCUUUUUGCAUUUUCGAGCACCAU
This is a long non-coding RNA of Pelmatolapia mariae (spotted tilapia), 468 nucleotides long. RefSeq lists it as uncharacterized. NCBI's taxonomy places the organism in Eukaryota, Metazoa, Chordata, Actinopteri, Cichliformes, Cichlidae. The transcript has 5 exons. The record is from RefSeq and is a predicted model, not a curated record.